AUGGACCUUCCAUCGACUAUCCAAGCUCCAAGUGGACCCAUGACAAGAGCAAGAGCUCGUGCUAUUCAAUCCAAGGUGACAUCACUCCUACUUGAGUUCCCCUUUUCUUCCAGUGAGACAUGGCUACUGCCUAAGUCCGAGACGCUAUGCGUGAUCAGGUACAACGCUCAAGCCACGGAGCCAGGAGCUGCAGAAGAAACGACAGGCGUCAACUCUCUGGACAGCCCGGAACCUUCGGUCAUAGCCUGGAACUUCCGGCCCCCGGGACGUCCGGCCUACCCGGAGCUUCCGGCCUCCGACGACAUCGACCAGCCCGGGCGUGCCAACUCUCUCGUUAGCCAGGAACCUGCGCGGAACCCAUCCCGGAGCUUCCGGCCCCCGGAACCUCUGGCCCGCCCGGACCUUCCGGCCCCCGGACGCCAGCCCAGCUCCACCCGCGUCAACUCUCUGGUUAGGCCGGACCCUGCCCGGACCCUUCGUCACCCGGAACUUCCGGCCUUGCCUGCGCGCAGACACUUGGGCCGAGGCCCGUGUACCCUUUUGCCCCGUAAACUAUAUAUACUCUUCUCCUACCUACGUUUUAGGGUUAGCAUUAGUUUAACUCAUAUUUUGUGUGAGAGCCUUGCUCAUCCACUUGGUUACUUCUCCUCGGAGCUCACGACCUCUUCGGAGAAGAUCCCCCAAGCGGAUUCAAGACCCCUUCAAGGGAAGACAAUCAAGACCUCCUCACGGAGAAGAACGGUUCCCUUUGUAUCCUCCCCUUGUUGA
RNAcentral lists this ribosomal RNA (768 nucleotides) under Triticum aestivum (bread wheat). RNAcentral's name for it is "partial small subunit ribosomal RNA". Lineage: Eukaryota; Viridiplantae; Streptophyta; Magnoliopsida; Poales; Poaceae. The record is from RNAcentral.